This 253-nucleotide ribosomal RNA is filed under the name uncultured bacterium. RNAcentral describes it as "partial 16S ribosomal RNA". It matches the Rfam family "Bacterial small subunit ribosomal RNA", at positions 524 to 776 of the family's 1533-position model. The record is from RNAcentral.
UACGUAGGGUGCAAGCGUUGUCCGGAAUUAUUGGGCGUAAAGAGCUCGUAGGUGGCCUGUCGCGUCGGCUGUGAAAACUCGGGGCUCAACUCCGAGCUUGCAGUCGAUACGGGCAGACUAGAGGUAUGCAGGGGAGAACGGAAUUCCUGGUGUAGCGGUGAAAUGCGCAGAUAUCAGGAGGAACACCGGUGGCGAAGGCGGUUCUCUGGGCAUUACCUGACGCUGAGGAGCGAAAGUGUGGGGAGCGAACAGG